GUUUGCGGAGACCGGGCCAGCCGCAGAGGUGGAGCUGAGGGUCAAAACCUCCUCCCUGGAGCAGGAGGGCAGAGAGGCCUUCCUUGUACGUUCGAGCGGAUUCAUAAGAUAAAUGGUGAAGGACUCAGAUGGCUGAGAUGAGAUUUUGUAGAAAAACCUCGCCGAGUGCCAAGUGCAGCUAGGGCUUCAGGAGUCCAGCCUGGUUUGUAAGCCUCGAGGAGCCCACGCGUGGCCGCAGGUGCAAAUGGUCUCAGAGCAGCCAUGCACGGGAGAAUUCCUCCCAGGGAGAAACGCCGUGAAUGUGACUUCUAGGGACACGCACAGCCGGUGGAAACCGUAUGCAUGUAGUGUGCAUAGGUGAGAUGUAAUGGAACACUGGAGAAGCACCUUGUGAACGUGGGAAGGGUUUCGCGCAUGCUCAGGCUCCGUUCGGGAUCAGAACAUUCCCGCAGGAGAGAAGCCAAUGAGCAGCACUGGACGUGGCCACACCUUCGUGGAAGCGCUGGUCCUCAGGCAUCAGAGUGGACAUAGAGAGGCCCUGCAAAUGUAAUGACUGUGGGAACGCCCGCCUCCUGAGUUCAUGCUGCCGUGAGGGAGCGGACUGUGGGUGCGGGCAUGCGGAAAGGUCUCAGAUAAUCCCCACUGGAGAGGAACACUGUGGAUGUCAUCCACGCAGCAGAAUCGGAUAAAUUGCACCAAGGGACCCCACCCCCACCCCCUGUGCAGUGACCACCGCAAAACCUUUAAGCAAAGAUCUCAUGCCCCGAAAUGCCAGGGCCGUCACCAGGGAUGCAGCAGGGAGUGAAACACCCAUCUCUUUUCUCACACCAAACCGUAGCCAAGGGAUUCACCACGAGGUGAGCCGGUGCGAGAGGGAGGACUCUGCAGGCGGAGACUGCCCUCGGGGUUGUGGCCUCAGAACGGGGUCCUGCUCCCUGGAGACAUGGACCCUGUUUCUUACAGUAGCUUUUGUGCAUCAUGGGCAGGCAGUGCCAGUUGACACCAAUCAAGUCUCAACACUCAGCCUGCACACGUGCAGAUCCUCUGGAAAAACGCAGCCCCUCCCAUCCUCAGAUCCUAAGAGAGGUAGGGGCCUUGCCCAUUAGCUGACUCCAAGACAACCUGGCUGGGACUAGAAGGUGAGAGCCAACCCCUGCGGCUGCUACAAGCCCCACAGGAGGCCCGGGGAGGGUUUCCUGGCAGUGUCUUCCGAGUCGCCGCAAGUUUCUGCCCAGUUUUCACAGCCUGCUCUUCCCUGGGUUCCGGCUGGGUCUCUUCCUCAGGUAUGGCUCCACGCCUCCCCUGCCCAGUUGAUGCAGGUCUCGCUCUGAUCACAUCCAGUUCCUGUAGACCAUUGGCCACUCACCAGGCCGCUUUGCCUUGCGUUUUCUAGGGUCUUGUUUCAUGGGGUCAUGGGAACCCACUCAGGGACCACCCAACUACCUGAGAGGCCCACUGGAAAACGCAGAUUCCCAGGCCCCACCCCAAGGGAUUCAGCAGGCCUCAGGGGAAGCCAGGAAAUCUGGAUUUAGUUCAAAUACCCAAAUACAUUGAUCAUGGGCCUGGUUCGGGAAUCUGUUCUCCUCCAAGCCCUCAAAGCAGGAGCUGCUGGCCUGCCCUCUGCAAGGCCGCUGCCCAGGCUCUCCUCAGACACCACCUGGACGGGCAGCUCGAGCCGUGGGACGCCCCUGCUUGGGCCAGAAUCGGGUCCUGCACCUCAGACCUGCAGGGCCCAGCUCGGCCUCUGGGCCUCUGGCAGCCGCGCCCUGCCUGGCACCCCCUGCCUCCGUGACGCCCCAUCUCUCUCUCUACAACGUAGCCCCGUGCUAGUUCACAGCCUCGCGACCCCU
RNAcentral lists this long non-coding RNA (1850 nucleotides) under Homo sapiens (human). RNAcentral's name for it is "HSALNT0145340". Lineage: Eukaryota; Metazoa; Chordata; Mammalia; Primates; Hominidae. The record is from RNAcentral.